This 442-nucleotide ribosomal RNA is filed under the name uncultured bacterium. RNAcentral describes it as "partial 16S ribosomal RNA". It matches the Rfam family "Bacterial small subunit ribosomal RNA", at positions 338 to 795 of the family's 1533-position model. The record is from RNAcentral.
CCUACGGGAGGCAGCAGUGGGGAAUAUUGGGCAAUGGGCGCAAGCCUGACCCAGCAACGCCGCGUGAAGGAAGAAGGCUUUCGGGUUGUAAACUUCUUUUAAGAGGGAAGAGCAGAAGACGGUACCUCUUGAAUAAGCCACGGCUAACUACGUGCCAGCAGCCGCGGUAAUACGUAGGUGGCAAGCGGUGUCCGGAUUUACUGGGUGUAAAGGGCGUGCAGCCGGGAAGACAAGUCAGAUGUGAAAGCCCGCGGCUCAACCGCGGAACUGCAUUUGAAACUGUUUUUCUUGAGUACCGGAGAGGGCAGCGGAAUUCCUUGUGUAGCGGUGAAAUGCGUAGAGAUAAGGAAGAACACCAGUGGCGAAGGCGGAUGACUGGACGGCAACUGACGGUGAGGCGCGAAAGCGUGGGGAGCAAACAGGAUUAGAUACCCCGGUAGUC